RNAcentral lists this RNase P RNA (456 nucleotides) under Aeromicrobium sp. RNAcentral describes it as "Bacterial RNase P class A". It matches the Rfam family "Bacterial RNase P class A". Rfam says of the family: Ribonuclease P (RNase P) is a ubiquitous endoribonuclease, found in archaea, bacteria and eukarya as well as chloroplasts and mitochondria. Its best characterised activity is the generation of mature 5'-ends of tRNAs by cleaving the 5'-leader elements of precursor-tRNAs. The record is from Rfam by way of RNAcentral. Lineage: Bacteria; Bacillati; Actinomycetota; Actinomycetes; Propionibacteriales; Nocardioidaceae.
UGAGUCGGCCGGGCGGCCGCGGCGCUCCACCGCAAGGUGGCAGGCGUCGAGGAAAGUCCGGACUCCACAGAGCAGCGGUGGUGGCCAACAGCCACCCACGGUGACGUGCGGGACAGUGCCACAGAGAUCAGACCGCCAGCGGCCUUCGCCUGAUCGUGGACGAGCACGCUCGCUCACGGCGACGGCGAAGGUGCGGGUAAGGGUGAAACGGUGAGGUAAGAGCUCACCAGCGCUCCGGGAGACCGGGGCGGCUAGGUAAACCCCACCGGGAGCAAGACCAAGAGGACACCGUUCCGUUUCGACGGAGCGGGGUCUGCGCUGACGGGCUGCUCGUCCAAUGUCAGCGGGUAGGUUGCACGAGGCGCACAGCGAUGUGCGUCCCAGAUGGAUGGUCGCCCGGGCCGGCGAUGUGAAUCGGUGGCCCGACAGGAUCCGGCUUACAGGCCGGCUCAUUCG